This 254-nucleotide ribosomal RNA is filed under the name uncultured bacterium. RNAcentral describes it as "partial 16S ribosomal RNA". It matches the Rfam family "Bacterial small subunit ribosomal RNA", at positions 524 to 777 of the family's 1533-position model. The record is from RNAcentral.
UACGUAGGUGGCAAGCGUUGUCCGGAUUUAUUGGGUUUAAAGGGUGCGUAGGCGGCCAGUUAAGUCAGGGGUGAAAGACGGUAGCUCAACUAUCGCAGUGCCUUUGAUACUGGAUGUCUUGAGUCCGGAAGAGGUGAGUGGAAUUGCGAGUGUAGAGGUGAAAUUCGUAGAUAUUCGCAGGAACACCAGUGGCGAAGGCGGCUCACUGGUCCGGAACUGACGCUGAGGUGCGAAAGCGUGGGGAGCAAACAGGG